CGAAAGAAAGAUUAAUACCCGAUAGUAUAAUGAUUCCGCAUGGUUUCAUUAUUAAAGGAUUCCGGUAAAGGAUGGGGAUGCGUUCCAUUAGGUUGUUGGUGAGGUAACGGCUCACCAAGCCUUCGAUGGAUAGGGGUUCUGAGAGGAAGGUCCCCCACAUUGGAACUGAGACACGGUCCAAACUCCUACGGGAGGCAGCAUG
RNAcentral lists this ribosomal RNA (202 nucleotides) under uncultured bacterium. Its description in RNAcentral is "partial 16S ribosomal RNA". It matches the Rfam family "Bacterial small subunit ribosomal RNA", at positions 152 to 353 of the family's 1533-position model. The record is from RNAcentral.